Rosa rugosa (rugosa rose) is the source of this 328-nucleotide long non-coding RNA. RefSeq lists it as uncharacterized. The record is from RefSeq and is a predicted model, not a curated record. NCBI's taxonomy places the organism in Eukaryota, Viridiplantae, Streptophyta, Magnoliopsida, Rosales, Rosaceae. The transcript is spliced from 2 exons.
UCUCUGAUAAGUAGAUUUUAAUGAUCUAUUCUUUUCUUUGUUCUGUAUAUAGGCGGCAAUACAAUUCGAAUACCUCGAAGACAGGAGUGAUUCUACUCAUCAUCAAUAUUAUCAUAAUAAACACCCCUAUUCCAAUAACAGCAUUCGAUAAUGCCUCCAAGGCAUAGAAGCCGUCAAAGACUUCUGAUACACCAAGUUUCACACCAGUUUAUUCAUUGUAAUCAGAACAUUUACAUUUUGUACAAACCAAACCCUUUAUACAAAAUAUUAUGGAAUACAAUGUAAACAAAUGAAAUCCCGCAGCAAAGCGCGGGCAAAUCUUUCUAGU